GUGGGGAAUAUUCCGCAAUGGACGAAAGUCUGACGGAGCAACGCCGCGUGAGUGAUGAAGGUUUUCGGACUGUAAAGCUCUGUUGUUUGGGACGAAAGUGCCUGUUGCGAACAGUUACGGGUAUUGACGGUACUAAACGAGGAAGCCACGGCUAACUACGUGCCAGCAGCCGCGGUAAUACGUAGGUGGCAAGCGUUGUCCGGAAUUAUUGGGCGUAAAGAGCAUGUAGGCGGGAAUCUAAGUCUGUUGUUAAAAUGCGGGGCUCAACCCCGUAUUGCGAUGGAAACUGGGUUUCUUGAGUGCAGGAGAGGAAAGGGGAAUUCCCAGUGUAGCGGUGAAAUGCGUAGAUAUUGGGAGGAACACCAGUGGCGAAGGCGCCUUUCUGGACUGUGUCUGACGCUGAGGCGCGAAAGCGUGGGGAGCAAACAGGAUUAGAUACCCGAGUAGUCC
Molecule: ribosomal RNA, 450 nt
Filed under: uncultured bacterium
Lineage: Bacteria
Description: partial 16S ribosomal RNA
Rfam family: Bacterial small subunit ribosomal RNA
Source: RNAcentral